This is a long non-coding RNA of Bufo bufo (common toad), 174 nucleotides long. RefSeq lists it as uncharacterized. The transcript has 3 exons. NCBI's taxonomy places the organism in Eukaryota, Metazoa, Chordata, Amphibia, Anura, Bufonidae. The record is from RefSeq and is a predicted model, not a curated record.
CAAAAAAAUAUGGAAAAGUGUAUGAAGACUUCGAUCCAGAAAAUCAAGAGCACUGAUGACCUCCAGUCCCCCCAUAUAAUGUCAACGCCGGUUAGGGAAAGAUCAUCUGACUUCCCCUUGCUCAAAUCCAGUGUCACGGGAGGUUGUUCGCUAGGAAUGACUUGUCGUGGAAGC